ACGCUCGACACCUACGGAAGGCAGCAGUGGGGAAUAUUGCACAAUGGGGGAAACCCUGAUGCAGCGACGCCGCGUGAGUGAAGAAGUAUUUCGGUAUGUAAAGCUCUAUCAGCAGGGAAGAAGAUGACGGUACCUGAGUAAGAAGCCCCGGCUAACUACGCGCCAGCAGCCGCGGUAAUCUGAGCGGGCUGGCAAGGC
RNAcentral lists this ribosomal RNA (198 nucleotides) under uncultured bacterium. RNAcentral's name for it is "partial 16S ribosomal RNA". It matches the Rfam family "Bacterial small subunit ribosomal RNA", at positions 326 to 539 of the family's 1533-position model. The record is from RNAcentral.